UGGGGAAUUUUGGACAAUGGGCGCAAGCCUGAUCCAGCCAUGCCGCGUGAGUGAAGAAGGCCUUCGGGUUGUAAAGCUCUUUCGGACGGGAAGAAAUGGCGGGCUCUAACAUAGCCUGUCGAUGACGGUACCGUAAGAAGAAGCACCGGCUAACUACGUGCCAGCAGCCGCGGUAAUACGUAGGGGGCAAGCGUUGUCCGGCUUUACUGGGUGUAAAGGGCGCGCAGGCGGGAUAAAAAGUCAGUGGUGAAAUCCUACAGCUUAACUGUAGAACUGCCUUUGAUACUUUUAUUCUUGAGUUCGGGAGAGAGAGACGGAAUUCCAGGUGUAGUGGUUAAAUACGUAGAUAUCUGGAAGAACACCAGUUGCGAAGGCGGUCUCUUGGUCCGACACUGACGCUGAGGCGCGAAAGCGUGGGGAGCAAACA
Molecule: ribosomal RNA, 427 nt
Filed under: uncultured bacterium
Lineage: Bacteria
Description: bacterial SSU rRNA
Rfam family: Bacterial small subunit ribosomal RNA
Source: RNAcentral